UUUGAAUUUUGUUGGGGAACGGUGGCUGCUGUGCAGAGAUCAUGGCAAAAUUGCUGAAAUGGAAGGGGAAAAAUAAUGUUGUAAAAGCUUGCGGGCCCUCUCGUUGUAUGAGUUGCCUUAUCUUCUCUGCCUUUUCCUGCAGAACAGCUAACUGAAUUGCCCUGAAAUGUAGUGAACUGCAGGGUAUGCAGAUUCCGGUCAGGAAAUAAUUGCAGUGAGAAGUUUGAAUCCAUUAAGUGUUCCCUGUGUUCACCUUACGGUCUGCAGUGCCGAGCCAAACAAGCAACUUACCGUGGGCAAACUAGUGCAUAAAUAACAUGUGUGGCCACCUGGCAGUAGCCCAAAUGCAGAGAAAAGUUCAUGAAGCUCCCACUGCCAGGAAAAGGUCGUCUUCCUUGCCCCGCUGAGUGUCUGGCUGGGGAAGCUCUGGGUACCCUGUCCUGAGUCACAGAGAGUACGGGGAACUGACAGCCCGGAGGAAAUAACAGCUUUCCCAUCACCUUCAGUGCAGGUCGUAACCAUAGAAAAUAUUAUACCUACUGAAAGAGAGAGCGCAAACACGAAAAUCACGCUUUCAUCAGAAAAUCUUGCAGUUGCUUGUUUUAAAACAGAUGGCUAUUACAGACGUUGGAGAUAAAGCACAUAUGUAUUCCUUAGACGUUUCAAGAAUUUGAGCGUUUUAUAUGCCUUUAUCACUUUGCUGCCCUUCUGUCCUCCCUCCUUCUUCUUGGAAAAGAUUCUGUAGAAGGGAAUUCAACUAGAGGGUAGAAAAAUUUAAAAGGAACUUUGAAAGUCAUAAAGCUAGAAAACAACGCCUGGCUAAUUAAUGAACAACUGCAGGUUGGCAAUAGAAGUAAGGCGGGAAGGUGGGAAUGUAGAUUUUUAACUCAAUUUAUAGGCAUUUGCAUCUUUGGAUGAACAGCUUUUGAGUUCAGGUAAUGCUCUCUUCAAGAGAGUGGCAAAGGAAAAAAUGAGCCUUUUCUGUCACCACGGCCGUGUAUUUCACACAUUAGCCACUGUGUGUCUCUGGUAGCCACAGCAGGUAUAGGAAACACUUGGCUGCUCAUUCAAAUGCUCACCAGUUUUUCCUCUGAAAUUUGAUAGUUAAAAGGCACUUUUUUUAUAUAUAUACUUGGGCCGUAGUAUUAAGGUAUUAACUGUAUUAAGUUGAUAUUGUAAACAUUGCGUUUCGCAGAGCUGCCUGACUUUACAAGUCGUGCAAAUGAGCGGUCCUGAGCUAGGUCAGUAGCUGUUGUUAGAAAGAAGGCGGCAGAUACGCUGCUGUUGGAAUGACUGCCAUACCUUUUUUUAAUGACGUGGUCUUUUUAGCAGGCACAUUCCCGCUGUCAUAUCUAUUGUAUUUGUCACCGGGGGGGAAUGUAGCUUGGACUGGUGCUGCUGUUAAAUUUCUGUCCUAAGCUUUGGCAAUGGGAUUGAUGCUGAACAUAAAUAGUUUAUUUUUUAAAUCAAAUCAGAGGAACUGGCUUACUCUAGAUCGAGUCUCUUGUGUAAGCAACUAAAAAGGAUGGCAGCUGUAAGGACAGUGUUACAGCUUGCUUACAAAUCGUGUAGGUAUGACUUCAUUUCUUGUUUGUAAGUGAUACAGGAGUCAGCACUAAUACUCUGAAACGUAGCCAUUGUUGACAUAUAUUUACUAUAUAAUUUCUAUAAAUGCUUCUUGUGCUACAGCCUAUCUCCAAGCGUUUCUUGUUUAGCAUUGAAAAUGAGUGUUGUCUGGAGGUGUAGCCCUGUGGAAUUAAAAUUUCUCCAGACUUCUGUGAAUAGGCAGGCUGAGGGGAGUACAGCACCUCAGUUCUGCAUAUAAAGGGCGAUUUUCAGUUAUUAACUCAAAAUCCAGUUCCACAAAGUUCUGAAUUAUUCAGUUGGCUUUUCUAUUUCUGUAAGCACGCACGGGAAUUUUGCCGUGUAGACCAUUUGCGAAAGACAAAACGCAACAGGCUGCCAAAUGCGAUGAAGUAAAUCGAACUUCAAAUAUUUUUAGAAUGUGUUUAUUUUUAAUGUGAGUUGUGUGGCUUGGGCUUUGGGGGUUUUAAGUCUGUUUAUAUGAAACCAAAUUGGUGGUGCGGGUCUUUUUCCUUUUUAGUGCUAUCCAACUACCAGGAAGGCUGGGAAGAGUAUGUAUUCCUAACUCU
This is a long non-coding RNA of Aquila chrysaetos chrysaetos, 2153 nucleotides long. RefSeq lists it as uncharacterized. The transcript has 3 exons. The record is from RefSeq and is a predicted model, not a curated record. NCBI's taxonomy places the organism in Eukaryota, Metazoa, Chordata, Aves, Accipitriformes, Accipitridae.